Molecule: ribosomal RNA, 781 nt
Filed under: uncultured Porphyromonas sp.
Lineage: Bacteria; Pseudomonadati; Bacteroidota; Bacteroidia; Bacteroidales; Porphyromonadaceae
Description: bacterial SSU rRNA
Rfam family: Bacterial small subunit ribosomal RNA
Source: RNAcentral
AAGGCAGCUUGCCANGACCAUAUCUGACACUGAAGCACGAAAGCCGUGGGUAUCGAACAGGAUUAGAUACCCUGGUAGUCCCACGCAGUAAACGAUGAUUACUGGGAGUUUGUCCGAUUUAUAGGAUAAGCUUCUGAGCGAAAGUAUUAAGUAAUCCACCUGGGGAGUACGUCGGCAACGAUGAAACUCAAAGGAAUUGACGGGGGCCCGCACAAGCGGAGGAACAUGUGGUUUAAUUCGAUGAUACGCGAGGAACCUUACCCGGGAUUGAAAUGUAGGCGACGUAUUUGGAGACAGAUAUUUCCUUCGGGACGCCUAUGUAGGUGCUGCAUGGUUGUCGUCAGCUCGUGCCGUGAGGUGUCGGCUUAAGUGCCAUAACGAGCGCAACCCACAUCAUUAGUUACUAACAGGUUAAGCUGAGGACUCUAAUGAGACUGCCGGCGUAAGCCGCGAGGAAGGUGUGGAUGACGUCAAAUCAGCACGGCCCUUACAUCCGGGGCGACACACGUGUUACAAUGGUAAGGACAGAGGGCAGCUACCUGGCGACAGGAUGCAAAUCUCGAAACCUUAUCCCAGUUCGGAUUGGAGUCUGCAACUCGACUCUAUGAAGCUGGAUUCGCUAGUAAUCGCGCAUCAGCCAUGGCGCGGUGAAUACGUUCCCGGGCCUUGUACACACCGCCCGUCAAGCCAUGGGAGUCGGGGGUACCUGAAGCACGUAACCGCGAGGGGCGUACUAGGGUAAUACCGGUGACUGGGGCUAAGUCGUAACAAGGUAGCCAUC